RNAcentral lists this ribosomal RNA (165 nucleotides) under uncultured bacterium. RNAcentral describes it as "partial 16S ribosomal RNA". It matches the Rfam family "Bacterial small subunit ribosomal RNA", at positions 355 to 511 of the family's 1533-position model. The record is from RNAcentral.
UAGGGAAUCUUCCACAAUGGGCGCAAGCCUGAUGGAGCAACACCGCGUGAGUGAAGAAGGGUUUCGGCUCGUAAAACUCUGUUGGUAGAGAAGAACGUUGGUGAGAGUGGAAAGCUCAUCAAGUGACGGUAACUACCCAGAAAGGGACGGCUAACUACGUGCCAG